This 253-nucleotide ribosomal RNA is filed under the name uncultured bacterium. Its description in RNAcentral is "partial 16S ribosomal RNA". It matches the Rfam family "Bacterial small subunit ribosomal RNA", at positions 524 to 776 of the family's 1533-position model. The record is from RNAcentral.
UACGUAGGUGGCAAGCGUUGUCCGGAUUUACUGGGUGUAAAGGGCGUGCAGCCGGGCUGACAAGUCAGAUGUGAAAUCCCGCGGCUCAACCGCGGAACUGCAUUUGAAACUGUCAGUCUUGAGUACCGGAGAGGUCAUCGGAAUUCCUUGUGUAGCGGUGAAAUGCGUAGAUAUAAGGAGGAACACCAGUGGCGAAGGCGGAUGACUGGACGGCAACUGACGGUGAGGCGCGAAAGCGUGGGGAGCAAACAGG